CCUCACUUCCCACAUGGGGCAGCGACCAGGCAGAGACGUUCCUCACUUCCCAGACGGGGCGGCGGCCGGGUAGAGGCCCAACUCCCCAGACGGUAGGGGGCGCUGGGCAGAGGAGCUCGUCACUUCCCAGAUGGUGGGGCAGCCGGGCAGAGGCACACCCCACUUCCCAGACGGGGCGGCAGCCGGGCAGAGGCACUCCCCACUUCCCAGAUGGGGUGUCCUUUGCCAAUUUUUAUAAAAAAAUUUGGCAUAGUGCUUGCAUACAUUUGCAGGUUGUAUUCCAGAUGCCUUGACUCCAAUAAUGUAAGAGAAAACACAAUGAGUGCACCUGCAGUCAAAGGAGGCUUUCAGGAGGGCACACUUGAUUUGCUCCACAAGGCUGGGGGAGGCACUCAGUAGGUGAGGCUGGGAUGCCCAGACGGGAGCUCCCCCAACGAUCCAGGAAUACAGAGCUUUUUCAAUGUUAGCUUGAAAUCUUGGCUAAUAGGCAGAAAAAGGCUCUUCUCACCAUGAGGGAAGACUCGGGAGCUGUGGAGGGGAAUGGGGUCCAUUUAUUCCAUCCAAGACGGGGCAAGGAAGGACAGGAGGACGCCCAAGUGUGGAGCUGUUUCCUCCCAAUAGUGAAUGUCUGGUAACUUUACCCACGAGUUCGGAUUUUUCUUGUUAGUCAGACUGAGUUCUGAUUUCCAAGAUUAGGCGAAAUCCAGAGCAGUUUGGGAAAUGAAGGAAUCUGGCUGCACAAUAAGAGUCAGAACCAUUGCCCUACCGUAAGCAAUACCUUAGCAGAAACAAAUUCCUUUGUGCAUUCAUUCUAUCCACAGACUAUUUUCAGAGAAGAGAAUGUCCCAGCUAGAAAUGCAAGUGCACGAGUGCCAACCCAGUGAGGUCAAUGAUUUGCGAGUGGAGACCCUGAGCACUUGCCAAGCUGUGUGGCGAUCAGCUGGUGAUUUUGCUGCAAAGCACCAUCAACUCCGUGGAGCUUGCCAAGACAGUGACAGCCCAGCAAGUCUUCAGGGAUGUGUCCUGCAGAGGUAAGUGGGAAUGGGGCACAGUCUUGGGGUUCUAGGACUCGAUCGUUCCUAGGCUACCUCCUUUCUCUGGAGACAGUCCGGUAUAGUAGUUAGAAGUACAGUUUUAAAUGCAGAGUCAUCUCAGUGAGUUCACAUCUUGGCUGUGCUUCUCACUAGCUAUGCAGCCUUGGGCAAAUGACUUCUAGCUUGUGCCUCUGUUUCCUCAUUGGAAAAACAGAGGUAAAAAUAACUGUUACCUUUAGGGAUUUUUAGUGAGGGUGGUGUGAGGUGCUGAGAACAGGGCUCGCUCUGCAAUGGUUUCGCAGUGGUUUAUCUGUGAUUACUGCCUGGAAGAGCAGGCUUCGCCUCCAACUGGGCGUGGGUAUUAAGCUUUCGCUGUGUGCUAAGCACUGUGCCAGGCAUGGAGAAUGCACACAGAGAAGACAGCCCCUGCCCUCAGCGAGCUCCCUGUAGGCUAGGGAGGGUGAGGCUGUCCACACGGUGAGACGGUGCAGGACAGCAUGCACUGGGCUGCUUAGACGGGAGCUGCAGUGCCCGCAGGACGGCAAGCAGGCGGCGGUCAGGGGA
Piliocolobus tephrosceles (Ugandan red Colobus) is the source of this 1598-nucleotide long non-coding RNA. The record is from Ensembl. Lineage: Eukaryota; Metazoa; Chordata; Mammalia; Primates; Cercopithecidae.